This 432-nucleotide ribosomal RNA is filed under the name uncultured bacterium. Its description in RNAcentral is "partial 16S ribosomal RNA". It matches the Rfam family "Bacterial small subunit ribosomal RNA", at positions 338 to 795 of the family's 1533-position model. The record is from RNAcentral.
CCUACGGGAGGCAGCAGUAGGGAAUAUUGGGCAAUGGACGCAAGUCUGACCCAGCCAUGCCGCGUGCAGGAAGAAGGCCUCUGGGUUGUAAACUGCUUUUAUCUGGGAAGCGGUACCAGAGGAAUAAGCACCGGCUAACUCCGUGCCAGCAGCCGCGGUAAUACGGAGGGUGCAAGCGUUGUCCGGAUUUAUUGGGUUUAAAGGGUGCGUAGGCGGCCCGGUAAGUCAGUGGUGAAAGCCUCCAGCUCAACUGGAGAACUGCCAUUGAUACUGCCGGGCUUGAGUACAGACGAGGUUGGCGGAAUUGAUUGUGUAGCGGUGAAAUGCAUAGAUACAAUCAAGAACUCCGAUUGCGUAGGCAGCUAACUAGGCUGUACUGACGCUGAGGCACGAAAGCGUGGGGAGCGAACAGGAUUAGAUACCCUUGUAGUC